AAGAGUGUCUGUUUCAAGGCCCCCGAACUCGCUCCUCCUUCAUCUCGUAACAGCGCAGCGUAGGGGGGCUUGAAACCGCCCAAUCGGACAAAGAGGGUGAAAAAAAAGUCGUGCAGUUCUGCAACCCAGCUCGCGGCUGUUGCUCGGGAAAGUUGUGAGAAGUUCGCGUGUAGUUCGUCUGUUUUUUUGUAGUGGAGUAAUCUGUAAUCAUAUUUCUCCCUCAUGAGCUCCAUCACUCUCUUUGGAAAGCUGUUUCAAAUUAAAAAGUCAAGUACAGACACUUACUCAUCUGCACAAAGGCACUGAAGCCUGGAAUCCCCCUGAAAGACGAAGGACGGUAAUUCAACUCCUGCCUGCUGAUGUCAGGAGACGGAUGAAGUGGAAGAGUAAAUCCAC
Long non-coding RNA from Pygocentrus nattereri (red-bellied piranha), 396 nucleotides. NCBI's taxonomy places the organism in Eukaryota, Metazoa, Chordata, Actinopteri, Characiformes, Serrasalmidae. The record is from Ensembl.